AUGAACGCUGGCGGCGUGCCUAAUACAUGCCAGUCGCGCGAACAGACGAGGAGCUUGCUCCUCUGACGUUAGCGGCGGACGGGUGAGUAACACGUGGAUAACCUACCUAUAAGACUGGGCUAACUUCGGGAAACCGGAGCUAAUACCGGAUAAUAUAUUGAACCGCAUGGUUCAAUAGUGAAAGACGGUUUUGCUGUCACUUAUAGAUGGAUCCGCGCCGCAUUAGCUAGUUGGUAAGGUAACGGCUUACCAAGGCAACGAUGCGUAGCCGACCUGAGAGGGUGAUCGGCCACACUGGAACUGAGACACGGUCCAGACUCCUACGGGAGGCAGCAGUAGGGAAUCUUCCGCAAUGGGCGAAAGCCUGACGGAGCAACGCCGCGUGAGUGAUGAAGGUCUUCGGAUCGUAAAACUCUGUUAUUAGGGAAGAACAAAUGUGUAAGUAACUAUGCACGUCUUGACGGUACCUAAUCAGAAAGCCACGGCUAACUACGUG
RNAcentral lists this ribosomal RNA (496 nucleotides) under uncultured bacterium. Its description in RNAcentral is "partial 16S ribosomal RNA". It matches the Rfam family "Bacterial small subunit ribosomal RNA", at positions 29 to 507 of the family's 1533-position model. The record is from RNAcentral.